GUAGUCUAUUUUAAUAAUUAAGUAAUUUUUAGUUUUCACUCUUUCACUCUUUAAUGCAAAAGAUAGGCCUUAAAAUCGUGGCUGUGGACUGCAAUGUUUGUGGGCGCCGACCAAAAUGGAUUUAAGCAUUUUUAAGUGUUUUGCAGCCGUAAAAUGUUUAUUUAGCAUUUAAAAAAGUAUUUGCUGCGGGGCACGUUUAUGGGACGUUAAAAAAAGGGCAUCGUCAGAGGGGCAGGAGAAGGAGAAGGCAUCUGCGGCCUUGUCAGAAUCAUGCCCCAUGAGCCGCGGGAGCAAACAGACAAACAAAGUGCCUGAAAUUUAUUUAAAAACCCAUUUAACAGGCCGCCCCAGUGGGGGACCUUCGAGGCAAUGGCGAUGCCCUAAGCCCACAUCAAACAAAAAGCGGAAAAAUCGGAGCUGGGGACGGAAACUGUCGCCAGGGGGCGCCACAUCAAAUGGUCAAUUAAAUUUCUGGGCAUUUCAUCAAUGUCGCCAUUGUCAGAAUUUCUGGGAAACGCAUUUUUUAUUUAUACGAACAAUUUGUUAUAUUGUUGCGGCAGCUAUUUUGUAGUACGGGGUAUAUGGGGAUUACUUAAACGCUAAUGAUCUUGAUGUUUCUUAAGUAGAAUUCAGGCCCGUUUCUGGAAUUUGAAUAUGUUUAAAGUAAAUUUCAUUUAUCUUAUUUCUGAAUUUCGCAUCUAUAUUUCUUUGCAAAAUUAUGGAACCUUAGGUGUUUACUUUGGGUGCUACAAUAUUCCACGCAUUUAGCUAAGUUUGCUAUUUGAAUGUUUCCAUUUCAUUAAAUAAACCCAUUAAAAUAACUAGCAUUUGAAUACUUAGAUAAUUACUACUUAGCGCAGUCUUGUGAUGUCCUCCAUGCCAUUAACCCUCUGUAAUAAUAAGAAAUACUUGAGCAUUACUUAUCUGGAUUAUUUGGCAGUAUUGGCACUUAACGAAAACUCCCACUUAAAGCGAUUGCGAAUCUAAUGCUAAUGCAGCCAACGUCAUUAGGGCGCGGUUUGAUGGUAUUCAUUUGGAGCGUAGUCCUUGGUGGAAACAAUUUGCGUGUCGAAACUGGGAAAUCGUUGAAUUCGCAGCCAGAUGCCCUGCAUCCCUUGUGGAAAUUAUUUUAAUUUUUCACGCAACCGAAGAGCGGAAAUUCCAAUUAAAACGCAUCAGCGCAUUGAGAUACUCCGCAUUCGGCAUCUGCAUCUGCAUCCGCAUCCGCAUCCGCAUAUGGCAUCCGCAUAUCGCAUCCGAAUCCGAAAGAGAAACAGAAUCAGAGUCAGGAUCCGAAUCCAAAGCCAAACAAGGAUGGCGUUGAGCAUUUUUUCUGACUGAUUUUCCAUUUAUUUGCGUAAAUUAAAAACAAAAAAAAAAAAGGAGCAGGAACGGGCGAAAUCCUGGCACGCACUCACACAUACGCGGAAUGCAGGACUCGCGGCUCCAAAAUAAAUAAACUGAGAUAAAGUGAGACGAAAGCGAAACGAAAAUAAUAAUGUGCAUAUGUAAAUAACACAGGCGUAGCCAACAACAACAAGGAUGUCAACGUAAUUGGACACGCGCGCUGGGGAAAUGCGGAGAAUGGGUAGAAAUUGCGAGGUGGUUUUGGGGAAAAUGUCCCUGAUUGCCGCCCCGUCCAUCAGAGCGUGUGUUUACUGUAAAUAGACAAAGUGGCGGCCGCACAGGACACGGACUCGUAACCGUCUCGCUGGCUCGUUGGCUCGCUGGGUCCGAAAUGACAUCACAAUUUCUUAUUAUGCUGCUGUCAUAUGUGUUUAAUUUGUGCCGCCCAAAUGAAUUUCCGGUUUUGCUGAAUUCAAUUAAAUUGAAUUUCAAUUAAAUCGCCGCAGUUGAAUGUGACAUCAGUACUAGUCUUUCACAUUGGCAGGGAUAUCCAUAUCUCUACCCAUCUAUCUAUCUAUCAAACUUUUCAAAUGUCCUGUCGUACUGGCAUUGUUUGCGCUGAGCCAUAAACAACAAAUUUCGUUGACUUUGGCAUUUAAAAUGUUAUGCGCAAUUAGGAGUGCAAGAUGAAUGUGUUGAAUGGCUGCCGGCGCAGUAAUUACAAACUCUGCACACGUGACGCACCACGCAUAAUGAAAAUCCAAAUGAAAUGGCAAUCUGCAAUCUGCAAGCAGCAAGCAGCAAGCAGCAAAACAAGCGAAAUUAUUUUGCUGAUUUACCAAAGACAAACAUAAUUGAAUUACGGAAAGAGCGCACACGGACAUGGUUAUGAACACGGACACGUAUCCGGACAAGGACUACGGUGCGGCUACGUAACAUGCUCCUUAGUGUUUGUGUGCACUCAAACAAUGCGCAUUAAAUUGCCAAUUAUUUGCUGUUUCUCCUGAUCGCAUUUAUACGUUUUUAUUGAUCCACUUUGAGUGGUGCAAAUGGGAAUGCACAACUCCACUCCCACCCCAUAGUACAUUCAAUCUACGAACCCAUGGACGGCCAUUCCCACUGCAGUACAAAUUAGAAUGGCCAGGAUAAUUGGCAGAUGCGAUUAAUCCUGAUUCGAUUAUAAAUGCAAAAACGAUGCAGUUCGGGAGGAGGGUAAAUAAACAGGAUGCUGAACAAUCAGGUGCUCGGUGAAUGGCUUAAGCAUAUUUAGGAUACUGACUUUGGCCAGAUUUGAAAUUAGUUUCACAUUCAAGAUAAAGUGCCAGUCUCAAUAAACGCUUAACUGCACUGCAUUGCUUUCUUAUAAUAAUAAAGCCGUACUUUAUCCGCUUACAUUGUUACAAAAAACAUUGGAUUUUUGUUUUGUUGCAUUUCAACGAGCAACAAUUUAUUUUAUUAGAGCUCAGCGUGGGCCAAAAAUAUCAACAAUAUAAUAUUAUUUCCAUGCCCAAACAAGUUUUUAAUAAGUUUGUGAUUUGUGGAGGGGAAAAAACUAAUCUUCGAUGCCAACGAAUAAAAGCCAUAAAUUCAAGGGAAAAAAUGGCGAAAUGGCCGCAGGUCGGAAUGAAAUAAAAAACGGCCUGAACUCCCGAUUUUCGAUCCCCUCAUCCCGCUGGCGCACUUGAGCGAUGGCCGGCGGACAUGAUUUGGAUUCGGAUUUGGGCUCGGAUACAUACAUAUAUAGUACAAACAACAGGAAAUGGGAAAACGCAGGCAGUGCCAAAUGGAAGUGGCAGGGUGGGCGUGGCGUGGCCAGGUGGGAUGCACCAUGAUUCGAUACAUUUUUGUAAUUGUUUUGCCCGGAAAAUGCGGGUGAAGCGGCAACAGCAGUUGAAUUGUUUGCCAGGGCAAACUGCAAUCAAAUCAAAAAUGGGAGUAGAAAAAAUAGAAAUUUAAUGUUUGUUUGCGUUUCAAUUCAAUGUUUGUUUGUCUGCCGCAAGGCAGUUGUUGCACACUUGUUGUGGUUGUGCUUGUCACACGUGCCGGGCAUUGAUUUAAGCGAUUAUUUUAUUUGAUUUCUAAUUAAAAAUCAUACCAGACCAUUUUUUUUUUUCGUUCAUGCCCCCCAUAAACGAGUAUGGUUGGACUUGCACUUGCUUUUAAUUAAAUGCAAAUAACAAAUAGCACAGUGCAUUGGCAUAAAUUAUGCCAAAAAGGUACGACUGUUCACGAAAGGGUGUGUGUGAGUUUGAGUGUUUGAGUUGGCCAUUAUUUAUGGGUGCAAUCAUUCACAUGAUAUUCUGCGGUUUCCCCUGCAUUUAUCACCCAACAAACUUUUAUAACACUCGCUUACCAUUGGGUGUUGCGUUAUGAUUAAUGCUUUCCGCCACGAAGGAUUGCACUUAUACGUAUAUACAUAUAUCCACACAUCCACAUCCUGCUAUCUGAAGGGCUAAAACUGCUAUAAAUUCGCUUUAAUGUGCCACUUCAGUUGGGUUACAGUUCCCAAUCAAGCGCUGGCUUAUUGAUGUCCUUCCAGACGAACUGGCAUCAAACUGUAAUUAAAUUCUCACUUUGGCCAGGUUUCGCCAAUCAAUUUCUAAGGAAAUCAGUUGCUUUAAUUAAAUUUCGAUAACUGAGCAGUUUGCACGAGCAUAAAACACGAUUUAAGGCCGCGCGAAAUGCCCACAAUGCCAACAUAGGGGUUAAAGGGGGGGUGCGAGCAUAAACAGAAAACUCAUUAAAAUCAUAAAAUGCAUUUAUGACAGCCUUGUUUGCACUGCGGGGCAAUAAAGUGGAGGCUGAGGCGUUGCUGAAAAGUGUCAAAAUCAAAACCAAGGCGCCAUCCAGUGUGUGGCUGUGGGGCUGUUUGUGUGUUUGCGCUCUCGCAUGUGAGUGUGUAUCCUGGCUGCAUCCUGCUUCUGCCCCCUUAUCCUGUGCCUCGUCCUUUGGCUUCUGCCACUGCCAGUGCCACUGCCAGUGCUUUUGCUUCUGCUUCUGCUUCUGCUGCCGUUGUCACACAAUUAUGCGUACAACAGUCCCGGGCGCUGUUGUUGUAAUUAUGUUGCCGGCUGUAAAACAAACUGCCAACAAGGACGACGAACAAGAGCCUCCAAGAAGACGAAGGAGCGCCUGCCGUUGCGCCAGGACAAAGACAACUGCGCUGGCGGGCAGGACCCAAACACGUGCACCGGAACAAAAUAUGCAGCACUUCCGCACAAAAUGUUAUAAUUUAAAUAUAUUUCCAAUUAUUUAUGUUUCUAAAAUGAAGAAACACUUCUCUUUUAUGGUUAGUAUGAAUAUGGUCCACGUAUGUCUUAUUACUCAAGUCCAACUGAACGAUAGUUUUCCGCCGAGUGUUUUGGAAUAGCAGACCGGAUGUGCAGCCACUUCGAUUAAUCAUGGCAAUCCAGAAUCUGCAGCGGAGUUGAAAUAUGAAAAGCUCGGCGGAAAAUGCGACGGCACUUUAAGAGGGGCGCUGAGCAUUUUGCAGCGACAGAGUCACUUCAAUCAGGCUCAUUCCGUGUCCUUCCUUCCAAGCCCUUCCUCCAAUGCGUUUGACAACUCCAAAGUACGCACAAAGUGAGCAGAAAGAGGGUAGACAACGUGAUAUUUGCUUGGUCAGAAGAAGGAGCCACUUCCUUGCCCAUUCAGGCUUAUCUUUAUCUCCGCCUUUGUGUACUUGGAGCUUCUUAUUACCGAAUAGUUGGGUGAAUGCCUGGCUAUCUGGCUGACCACGUUCUCGAGCUACUCCUACUGUUACUGCUACUGUUACUGCCCCUCGUAAUCCUCGUGCCCCAGCGCCAUUCAUCUUGCGCUCAACAAUUUUUCACUGCAUAACUCAGGGCGCCACGUACGCGGAGGUCCUGUCUGCGCAGGACACCCCCUAGAAGUACCCCCAAAACUUUAUCUGCAAUCAGUGGCCUGCACAAUUUCACACAUGGCCACAUGGUUCGAUACGUUUGAUUAAUGCCCUCGCACUGAGUGCAUCCUCUGACCUGAACCCAUCGAACUUCUAAACAACUGCGAGGAGCGGUUGAGGAGGAGUUGACUUUUAUUUGGUCCCGGCUUAGGGCUGACUUUGACGCUGAAUCAACGGAAUCAGAACGUGCGGGUCCCACACAUUUUCAUUUCCAUUUCCAUCUUCAUUCGAAUGCGAGUUGUUCUCGGCCCAAGCUCAACCCAUUUCGAUUUGCAUUUUCCGUUGCCAGAGCGAGUGCGAUUGCUAUUGCUAUUGGAAUUGGGAUUGGGAUUGGGAUUCCCCCAUUUUCAUUGCCGUUGCUGAUGCUGAUUCUGAUGCUGAUGCUGAUGCCGAUGCUGAUUACCAUUUCGCAUUCAUUCCUCAUCAUUUGCUCAGCAUGUCAGUCAGUCAGUCAUCCAGUUGGCUCGACUUGGCGGACUUGGCAUUCCAGCUCUCCUAUUUAGCUGAUUGUCGUCUGGCGGAGGCAGAAUCCUCCAUUGCGUACCACUCGUAGUCAAGUCCUGGCUGCGUGUGCUCAGCAUUUUUGUUGACAUAUUCAUUGGCAAACUCAAUAAUGCCGGAUUUAAAUGGUCGAUGGCGUGUAGGGCUCGCCGCCUGCAUGUGCGUGUGCCAAAUUGAUUUUGGCCAAACAUUUGCGGCGUUUGUCGCGGAAAUUGAAAAGCGUCUUCCGGUGGGAACACCGCUCAAACUUCAACUCGAAGUUUCUUUUCCUUUUCAAACUCUCUCUCUCUCUCUCAUUCUAUAUAUUUUUUGCGAUUUAAACGUGGCAUGAGAUGGCAAAAGUUGUGUAAAUUAUUUUGCCAUUGCACUUGUCAGCUCAACUUCCUUUUGGUCCUUUGUGCAUCUCUUUUGACACACUUUGACGUCAGUUGCCAGUGCGGAGCGGCUAAUUUGCAAGGAGCCAGCGUUUCCGCCAAACAGCUUCGCAAAAUUGAUGAAUAACAAGCUGCGGCACUGGAAAAACAGUAUUAGUGCAUUGAAACAACAGUUUUGCGGCAAAGUUUCUCAAGAAGUUCAUCGUAGCAACAAUAAUAUACCCAGAAGUUAAGUGGAAAGUGAAGCGCUACUAACUUAUGCAUAUAUUCCUAAAACAAGGAACUCCUUCAUCAUCUGCCAUCAUAAUUUAAUGGAUUUUGGACUCUGUCAAAGGGCAUCUUCCCGUCGACUUUGGCUUAUUUCCGGUUUUCUGAUUAAUGAAAAGUGCAAUUUGAAGUCCCUUCCUUUCGCAGCGCACUUGAAGUACAAAGAGACUCAAAGCAAAGUAGAAGACGAUUGGAAUGAGUGGUGUUGGCUAUAGUGAUGGUUACACUGAUGCGAAUGGGGCAAACUCAUCAUCAUCAUCAUCAUCAUCGGCAUCGGCAUCGCAUCGACAUCUCAUCUGGGUUCAGCUCAUCUCAGCACAUCUCAUCUCAGUGGAACGCCAGCAUCCUUGGCCACAAGCCACUUUAGAAUCCCAUCGAUUUUUCCGGCUUGGCUCUUAGCCGCGCUCGCUUUUGAGUCUUUCGGGUGUUUGCCGUUGUUGGCCGCUUUAUGCAUUUCGUAGCCACUUUGAUGACAUUACCGGGAGCGAUGGCCAAAGCUAUCACCCCAAUCCCAACCCCAACCUCAACCCCAUCCAAAGGCCAGUCUUUCCGCUCCGUCAUGGCUUAAUGGCAUUACGCCCAAGACCCCACAUUUUUUGUAUGCUGUACGCUCGCCUCGCCCUCGCACUCGCCCUCUCAACUCCAUCAAUUUCAGCAGCUUUUUACAAUAAAUUAAAUCAAUCGAUCAAGCCCCGGCAAAAACUGUGCCAAUCAAUUAGUUUCCACACACAAGCGAGCCAUAGCACCACAUAGCUGGGCAGCGUAGCAAUAAUUUUAAUGAAAUACAAAUAUAAAUGAAGCGGCCAACGAACAAUGACAGCUUCCGCAGUUGAACGACCCCCGAUAUGGUCAUCAAUCGAGAAACUUUUCACAGCGAAUUUGCUGGAAAUUAUUUCGAGCACUUGCCCGAUUAGAGACGCCAUGUUUCCAGCUGUUUAUCUAAGCCAUUUUGCGGCAACGACAUCGCCUUUGGCCAUGUGCCGGGAAUCUCAAGUAGUUUGGAUAACCUACCCUGCCCCAAGUGGGCAAAUGCAAAACAAUCCAAUAACAAAGGAGAAUUCAAGGAACCAAAGUGGACCCAUCAUUUCGGGUCUGCAAGCACCGACAUUCAGAUGCUCUUCAAAUUUCUAUCUUUCUGUUUCUAUUGUAAGAAAAUUUAAGUUUUAUCAAAGAACUUCUGAAAUUGGGGUUUUAGUUUUAAUGAAAGCUUGAUAUAUAAUAUAAUACAUAAUAUAUAUUUUUCCAACUUGUUUGGAAAGCGGUAAAAAAAAGUCGGAUUACGCAAAGCCUAAGACAAAGUAUAAAUACUCCUGAAAUGUGAGUCGGAAUCUUAUCGAGUGGCAAAAAAAUGAGAGAAGCGACAAAACGAAUGACAAAUUUUAAUGUCAAUAGCCGCAGACGUGCAAAAAAGGACGAGGCGGUGGCAGGACAUGGAUUUCGUAGGAUCGGAGCGCCAGGACCUGGGCCAUUUGCUCUUUAUCUGCCGCCGCUUUUCAUGUUCAUUUUAAUUUGUCCAAAUGUCCUUGCAGCGAGCACAAACGAUUUGUUUUCGCCUUCGCCGCUAUUGGGACGACAUUCGUUCGGUUUUCGGCCCCUUCCGGGUUUAUUUGUAUUAAUGAAAUAGACGUUUUGGGGUCAUGCUAAAGUGAUUUUUCAACGUCUGCCACAAGCAGGGGCAGAAGCAGUUGGCUGGAGGGGUGGAGUUCAGGAGGUGGGUGCACUGCCCACCCCCUUUGGCACACAUCCUUGUCCCGGUCCCCAGCUCCCUUUUGCUUAUCUCCGUUGUAGACCAUUGUUGAUGUUGUUGCUCCUCGGAGCUCGUUCCGCUUCUUUCCGUGUUUAUUUUGCCUUUGCCUUUGUCUUGGUGCCGUAACCCGGAGUCCUGCUUCCUUUCCCUUCCCUUCCCUUCCUUUCCAUUUUUUUUUUUGCAUCGGUCGAGGGAGCGAGCGAAAAUGUCGUAGCUUUUCAGCAACACUCGCAGCAAAGUGAAACUAAUGGCAGUUAGUUUUGUUAAGUCGAUAAAACUGUCAGUGAUAUGGCAGAUUGUGUGGCAGCAGCCGCAAGCUCGCUCUGCCUUCAUUUUCUAUUCUUUUCUCCACUUUUUUUUGCCACUCCCAACCUUUUGCCAUCGCUGCCUUUGUCACCUAACCCAUUUCAUGUUUUUGAUCCUGGCAGGCGAAAAAAAAAAGGAUUCGGCAACCAGAUACAUUUUAGCUGGGUUAAAAAGUUAAAUGAAGUUGCCGCAGGCAUUAAAUUUCCGUCGCCGCGAACACCAAACCGAAAUUUACACCAGCUCAUGGAGCAAAGGAACACUCAUACUCAUACUCAUACUCAUAAAGUAUGCAAAACUUAUGCACCAUCCCACCACCAGCGCCCUUUUUGGGGGCGUGGCUGUUGGACAAGUAAGUGGUAUUUUAUGUUCAUUUGCCGCGACUCGCUCUUCCUCAAUGCCAAAAUGGCAUUGUGUUUUAUGUUUUCGCCUAUGCGAGAAUGCACAUGACGGCGAUGUUGGUGUGGGUGUGGAAAGUGGCAAGAUGGCAAAGUGGCAAGAUGGCAUUGGGUGGGUUAGGAAAUGGCUGACUUAUUUCGGCGACAACCCGACCAAAAUGGCGCACAUUUUUGCGCCCGCUGCCCUGUGCAUCCUUUCCAUGCUUUCCAUCCUUUCGCAGGAGCAUGGUAAAUGACUUCGCUGCCAUGUCUUCAUCAUCGUCGGGCUUUCAGCUUAUUACUUUGGUGCGAUAACGUCCGUGCAUUCCCGUUUGCAUAGGGGAUUCUCGCAGUGCCGGGGAUUCCCCCAUGCAACUUCGCGUGUGUAUGUAUAUGUGUAUAGGUGUAUAGGUGUCCGUGUGUGCGUGGUUAGGUGGCCAGGUGGCCAGGAAUUAAUUAUCGCGUAUUGCUGGUGGCUCACGUAUCCUAAAUCAAAGCGUUUAACGUCGCUAAUCCUCUUAAUGCACGACCCCGUCGGGGAAGCACUCCAAUUUGAGACGAGCCAAAUGGUGAUCCAAAGUGCACUGUUAACAAAAAAGGUGCACUCUUGAAGCAGAUCCUAAAUUAUACAUAUAUGCAAAAUGCAAGAAUUGUUAGAGAAACUUUGGAAUAUUUAGCUAUUUGCUUCCAUUUUUAAAAGAACUUGAUUGAAAACUUUGAAAAUACAAACAAACCACAGUUGUUUCUAUCAAUGCAAUUUGUGUUUAAUCAUUUCUUAGUACCAGAACUGUAAUAUACUACUAUAUUUUUGCAGUGUCUCUAGUUUCCCACGCAGUUGGUCUGAAGUAUUAAGCAAAUUAAAAUGAAAAUCCCUGGCCAGGCGAAACCGCAGCAAAAAAGCGAAAAAUAUAUACACACAUUGGUAUAUUAUACAGCCAAGUUGCAGAAGAGCCAAGUCAACGAGACUUUUAAAAUCUCCACGGGAACAAGGGGUCCGAUAUGCGGGUCGCAGCUUGGUUGUGGUCCAAAAGGACGACACGAUGGCCAGGUCAGUUCGCUGUGAUUGGCAGGAGUCAUCAGGCAAGUUAAUUGCCCACGAUUUAGCCAAGCGGCGAAAGGAAUUCGCAGGACUUACCCAAAUGGCAACGGUCGUGAGUGGGGUCGUGACACGCGGUGCUCCUGACGUGCAAUUAAUGCCGGUUCCAGAUGACCAAGUCUGCAGCAUCAGCACCCCAGUUUCAGCCACGAAAAAUGUUUAAAUUUAAGGGGUUUAAAGAAAGCGUGGGAAAUUCAUAGUCGUUUUUAAAGCAAUUGCAAUGCUUUGGCAGAAAUAAUGAUAAAAUGGUACGGCCAUUUAUAACUUAAAUUAAAUUCGAAGUAAGCAAACAGUUUCUUAGCAACAGAAGAACCUUAUAAAAUAAAAAACUUUUGCAAAAAAAGGGAAGUUAGCAUACAAAAAUUGGUUGAGUUUUCCUCCAAGAAUUGAUUUCUUUUUACAUAGAAUAGCUCACUUGCUCUGCCUGUACUUACUUUUCAUUUUAAAUUUCUGGCCACAUAGUCAAGUCGGUGCCCCGUCGAUUGUUGUCGUGCUGAACUUAAUCCCAAGAGUGGAGCCCAUCAAUCGGAUUGAAGUCCACCUACAUCAUCUCCUGUCCCCAUUCCCCCACUCCGGCUGCCAGACCCACAUUGAUGUAGGUGAACUGGGAGCUGAGAGCCGAGAGCCGGGGGUUCUGGUCAGGACAGGAGCUGACCCUCGUUCGCCGCUGCUAAAUCUCGGUCAUUUGUGACGCUAUUACGGGGCGGACUUCGUCGGUUGCGCCCCCAAAUGAGCUUUUCCUCCUGCCAUCACUGGGAAAAAUGUAUUUGGACUGCAAUUCUGUAGCCAAGCUCUUACUUGCUAUCUCCAGUUUUGACAGACUAAUAUUCUGGGCCCAGAAAACCCUCAUAAUUUAUGUUGUCUAGAAAAACGAAUAAAAAGAAAGCAGUCUUAUAACUUUAUGUCUGUGAAUUAAUGUAAAAUUAAAACAAUAAGCCUGGAAAUGUAAGUUCAAGCUGUUUAAUUUAAUACACACGAGACAGCAUAAGGAGUUUUAAAGGACCUAGGAACCUGAUGGGUUUUCUCAGUGUUCGCCCAUAACUAUUUGUAUAUCGUUGCGAGCCAGCGACCAUUAUCCUCUAUGGGUGCGUAUUAACUUUUGCUUCCUGUCAACAUUGAAAAUUAUACGGUAGGCGGCCACACACGAUGCCACCUACAACCAAGACCAGUCUGUGAACCAAAGAACUCAGCCCAAGGAACCAUCCCAUGCCAUGGCGAUUGCCAUUCCCAUUCACAUUUUCGUUCUCAAUCUCGGAUCCCUUGCAAUUUUUGUACGCUUUGGCUUUUCUCGCAUUCAUUACGUGAGCUGGGUGGCUGAUGGCGGCAUUGAAUGGCCAGGAGGCGAGGGGGCGUGGCACCGCCCCAUGUGCCAUUAGCCCAGCAUGAGCUCCCCGUCUGUGGUGGCACUUCCCCGACUCGAAGCCAAGGAGCAUUUCAUUUAGCCCUCGUUGUUUUUUGUUGCUGUGGUUUCGGGCCAAAUAAAUCAAGAAUUUUUUACAAAUUUGUUGUCAUCAUGUUGACAUUUCCGACGUCUUUAUCGACUUGUGGACGGUGUGACAGGAGUGGUAGAAGUGGACGGUCAAAAGGCCCCGUUUGUAGCACGAUUUCCAUGCAAAAUACAUAAAGCGUGUCUGGUUCUGGAUCUGGGGAUGUUGUGCUAUGUGCGAGGUACUAUGUACUGGCUAAUGGGAAAUGUCUGUGAAUGCAGACGAAAAAAAGCGUACAAUUUUCCAGCAGAUAUUCCCGAAACUUGGCUUAGUUCGAAAUUGGUUCGCCGGCGAGCACUUGAAUAUAUUAUGAGACGUGCUCCUGAGAAGUUCGCAAAUUAUGUCAAUUACGGUGGGGGACAACAUUUUCGCAGCGAAAAUGCAGAAAACGCUAAACUACAAAACGAAAUUAUCGACUAACAAAUGCGACUGGCAGCGGGGAAAAAUGAGGGAACGCAAUCUAGGAGCGAAAAACGGAGAAAACGAAGGACAAAGUACCAGCGCCAUCCGCUUGACGUUUGUAACUUUCAUAAGAAAUUCAACACUUCCGCUGAAAGAGAACUGCAACAGUUUCCCGGCGUGGCGCAAAUUAAAAGCAAAAAAUAAAAGCGGGAACUAAAAUCCAAGAAUCAAGCGGAAGAAGGGGAGGAGCCAAGAAAGGAGCGGCAAAGGAGCUGCCGUAAAUAAAGAAUUACGUCUUAUGUGUGCUCUUGUGUGCGUAUCUAUUUGCAUUCGCCAUAAAACUCGGCGCCAUCGAGCGGCAAACGGCAAACGGCAAACGGCGCGGCAUGAACACAGGGGCAUCAUGAACGUCGGCCAAAUGACUUCCGUUUCCGCCGCUUAAGAUGGCGCGUGCAUCACAUCCCUACACAACCUUACACUCACACACACACACACACACAUUCCGGAGGCGGAGAUACCCGCAUCAUCAUCAUUUGUUUGCCCGCUCGACUGACUGCCUGCUGUGUCCACUGCUGACAUGUCGGCUGGCAUGCUGAAAAAUUGCAUCGAGUAUAAUGUAAAUCGUGUCAUUUGUCAAUGGCAGAUGGUCGCUUUUCCUGCGGACAACAACUCCGAUCCGGGAAGCGAAACCGCCUAAUGACAAUUGCCGAGCUCACGGAGUUUCUCUACUGAGAAAAACAAAGUAAUUUACCACAAGCCAUGAAUCGGCAGGGUAUUUAGUAGUGCACCCACGAAUAAACUAGUAUUCCCUUUGUAGAGACUGUGUAUUUUUUGCUCUGUACAAAAAACAGCAAAUGACUUGUAAACGUGCGAAAAUAAAAGAUUUGUGUGCGUUAGGUUGGACGUGUAUUGACAGAUCGUAAUCCUGAUCAAGAAUAUAUAUAUGUACUUUAUAGAAUCGGACAAUACUUUCCCUACCAGUUACAUACAUUUCAACAAGACAGUUUCACUUUACGAGUAACGUUUAUGUUUAUGAAAAGACGAACGCGACGUAAUCACUUAUCAAAGCAAUGUUUUGUGCACCUCAAAUGCAAAUAAUGGACUAUUUUAAUGGUUCGCAUAAAUAGUUUUCUUUGGAUGGCACAGACUCAUUCAUUUAUCAUUCUAAGAUAAAAGGAAUACUUUAAUUAGGAGAAACAAACAUACAUGCUUACACUUUCCACUGGAUUAUAAAUCAGCACGGAGUUUUCCUUUAAAUAAACUCUGUUUUAUGCCGGAGCUCUUUGCUCUGGACAGCCCAUACGCCGCGUACAUCGCGUUUAAUGACUCUUGGCUAAAAUAGUUUGCGAACAGUUGCUCCGCGCUGGCACAUUAACGUGGCCAAGGCGCAAAUAAUUCAAUAAAGCAACUUUCGGCGAGAUUAAUUAAAUAUUUCUGUCUAAUUUGACGCAAUUUAUGCAAUGCCACAGGGAGCGAACUAAAGUGGGGUGCAGAAAUGAGCAAAGUUUGCCGGCCAAACUUGCUUAGCUAUCUGCUGAAACUUUUAUUAAUUACAAAGGAUACACAUCAACAUUAGUCCAAGUGAGCUGCGGAAGUGGCUUCACAUUUGUGAAUUGAACAUGGGGCGCUUCGAGUUACUUAGCUUCCUUUACUGACUGCCUUUUUCCGUUCGUCCUUUUUUGCCUUUCCUGCAGCUGCCUCUGCCUUGGUGCCUUUGAAUGACUGAAAGCUGGCGAGGAUUAGCCACAAGGACAGCGCUCCUCAUCCCUCCCCGAAUCCCGUUGCCAUUCCAACUGAGCCGCUGCCUCAUUGAAAAGUGGCAUAACGAGCUCUUGUGCCCCGGCUUAAAAGCGCUUACAAAUUGCUACAUGAAAAUGUCUGCCCAGGGGCGGGUGGGAAAACGGGGAAAAGCGAGGAAAAUGGAAAACGUAAGGGCAGCGCAAAUGAAGCUGUGAAAGAGGGGCACCGGCGGGGGCUUUCAUCAACACUUCAGGACUAUUGCAAAGGGCAAGUUGAAAACUGAAACUGCAACUGAAGCGCUUUUCCACACACACACCCGCUGGAAAACACGGCGUAGAGUGAAAAAAACCUCCGGCUUUUUAAUGAGUCAAGUGGCCAACACGUGAAACACUCACAGUGUGCACUGAGAACAUUCAUUAUUAAUGAAGAUUUAUAUUAACUAGGGAUCUAAAUUGGAAAUAAAAAACAAAUAAUAUUUAAUGUUGCCAAAGUGGUAGCUAAUUAGUAAUUGUUUUAAAAAAUACUUGAGAUUUAAUAAUAGUCAAAAGACUUUAACAUAACGAAACACGUUUCUAAGCUCCAUUCCAAAAGCACUUGUUAAUUAUAAUUGAAAGAUAGCUUAGGUGCGAACAUUUCUUUGCAGUGCACACAUAUCUGUGUGUAAUGACGCACAUUUUGGCUGACUUUUGUGCGAAUGCAGUUGAACGAAAUAAACCGUUUUGCCUUUGAGCCGAAUUGAGUUUCAUUUGAGUUGGCCCGCUGAUUCGCUCACUCGUUUUCGGGCGUCAUGCCAACGCCGUUUGAGUUUUUGCCUGGCUUUUAUAAUUGCAUGUCGACUCUUAAUGAGCUGGGCGCCAUGCAAUUUGUACUUUCGCUGAGCAAACAGCGAAAAGCGAACAGGAGGAGGCCAAAAGCAAAGGAUUUCCCAUUUUCCUGCCACUUGAAGUUGGGUUCUGCGGAUGGGGUUUGCUUGUUUCGGAGUUGCCGGCGAAAACUCGGUGAAAAAUAGAGCGCAGAAAGUUGGGCUCUUGUUCAAAUGGAUUUCGGUCGUAAGCGAAAUAAAACCGCAAAACUCAAAAUGAAAUGAGUAAAUUGCGGUUGAAGUUGCCAAAAGCUUUAGCACUCCUGCCUUUUUUUGGAAUGUGUGGUUUUUGUGUUUUGCUUGGCCACAUCUGCGGCACUCUGCACCGAAAUAGCCUUAAAGUUUUUGCAGCUUUAAAAUGCAGAAAGAUAGGGCAAUUUAAAUAUCAAACAUGCUUUUUGGCCUGGAUUGCAUGAAUAUAUGAAUAUAUGGGAUAUCCAAAGCAAACAUAUUCUGCUUAUCAAGGCACAUUGCAAACGCUUUUUAUUUGAUCUACUAUCUGAUGCUUAGAUUUUGAAAAUAUGAAAAUUUAUAUCUUUAAAACACUCCUGUCCCGAAAAAAUUCUAUUUAUUUUCUGUGCAUACUCAGUUUGCCUGGCAACGUCGAUUCACCGGCGAAACCUGUGGAAGUGCCUUUCAUCGCAGCCGGCAACCAUAAAGAUUUCACCGAUAAUAGGAUACACAAAACGAAUGUGAAUUUUUCAGUUCUUAAUGCCAAAACGAAGUCAGAGGCUAAACAUAAGAGUCGAAGACCAUAAACAAUCCUGACAGGACGUGAAUGGGAGAAGGAGGCUCCUCCUCCUCCUGCUGGGUAAAAAGCAUGCGAGGGGUGAAUAGCUUUAAAGCUGAUGCAUAAUAUAUUGCGUAUACGCCCCAUUAUGCCCUCCGACGAACACAGACCGACACACCGGCACAUGGGGCAGACGAACAUGAACGGCAGACUUCUAAACCAUAUAUCGUAUGUAUAAUUGAAAACAAAUUUUACUGCAUGUAAUUGAGUGUGUUUGUUUGCGGGCCAGUGCCUAUAUACUCGUAUGCAGCUCGAAGUGUUUGUGUGUGUGUGUGUGUGUGGGCGGGAGUGUCUUGAUAUCGAUAACAAAUGCCACAAAUUGAAUUUAAAUCAUAUUACAUACAAACAAGCAGCACAGACACAAAACAGGCCGGCUUUCGACUGGGGCUUUGCCUUUGCCUUUGGCUGGGGAUAGGGAUUGUGAUUGGGAUUGGGAUAGGGAUAGGGCUCUUGGCCGCGCCAUCGCCAUGCUCGCUUGUUUUAUUUAUGGCUGCAACAGCAACGAUAACAAGUGCAACUGCAACAGCUACACAGAGAAAAAACAGCUGAAAUAGCGAAGUUAUUAAUAAGAUUCAGUUAGGCAAAGCUACUCGUAAAUCAAAAUAUUUGUCAGUAGAAAUAAUGUUAUAAUUGGCAAGACUAUCACUUGAUAAAUUCGUAUUUAAAUAAGCAGAUCUGCAUUUCAAUUUCAUAGUGUUAUCCACUUUAUAGAACACAAAAUCUGUUCACGGGAAUUUCAGUUCAAAAUCCGCAAUUUAAAUUGUGGUUUUCUCCGUGUACCACAGCCGAAGUCUGAGCAACGCCUUUGCUUUUGCUUUGAGCCACAUUUGAAUUCGGGUUUCGAGAUUUUCAUUUUAUGCAUUCAGUGCACACGCCCAGCCGAAACAAGGCAGCCAAUCUCCUCGAAUAUCCUUCGAAGGACUCCGCCUUCGCCUCUGACUCCGAUUCCGACUCGCCGUCCUCUUAAUUGCCAGCUCUGCAUUGGGAUGCCAUAAAUUUAUGCAUUGCAUUCUGGCAGCAGCAAUACGUAUUGCACCGCCACCGCCACCGCCACUGCCACUGCCAUAGAAAUUGGCUCAGAAUCUGACAAUGGCACCCAAAGCGAGUCCUUCCGGAGGACAUCGUCCAGACGGCCUCCGUCUCCGGCCGUAAAUAAAUGUUUGAUAAGCAGUCAAUAUGAUUUGAUGGGGGAAAAGCAAUUAAAGUCGAUCGCUUAAAACGAAAUUUAAAUGCUGUCAAAAUAAGAAAGUCCCCCGAUAGAAUACAUAGAUAUUUACCCAACAAUUUGCUCAGACAAACAGUCUUUGCAUCUCAGGGGCAUCUUUGCCAGAAAUCGAACUGUGAACUGCAAACUGUGAAGCUCGCAAAAAUCCAUGUGAUGUGCAAAUAAACGGCCACUAAGUUAUGGGCUCAAGUCAAUUCCGACACUCGAUGUCGAGGUGUCCAUGCGAGCUGGCACGACCCAAUAUCUGGGAGCCGAAUGGAGUUGGACUUAGUCCUUAGUCCUUUUGCUUAGAGGAACGUGUUUUCGCCUGGCUGGGGAACGUGACGCACGUGCGUGCAAAAAUGCAAAGGACCAAAACUCUGUGAGGUGCACUUCGUAUUGACGUUAACAUUUUGCUCGGCACUUGUAACGUGGUGCAGUGCAAAAUACGUACGAAGCUGAAAAAUGAAACGCAAAACUGAAAGGAGUAAAUACCAGGCGCAAACUACAACUGCACAGGGAGAAAAGUUGGGAUCGAAUAGUGAUAGAAUUAGAAGAAAUUAUUUAUAAACUCUUGAAGUUACGAAAAAUUCGGAGUAUGAAGAAGAUAUUAAAGAACAAUUGGAAUAAAUAACUAUAAAGAAAACUACUAUUGUUGCAUAUUUUCCCUUGCGCAACUUACCGACUUACAUUCCAUAAACCAAUCCACAUGCCACUGCCUUAUUAUUUUGACGCCGAAAACACCCUUAAUUAUAGAUACUAUAAUCACUUAUUAAACGACCGACAAAACACGCACAAUACCUGUUAUUACUGCGAUCAACUAAACUGGCAAUCGGGAACCGGAAUGGCCACGUAUUUUCUCUCGGUUCGAGCAGGACAAAUAAGCAGAUUGCCACGGCAAUCGCAGGCAAUGAAGCGUGUCCUGCAAGGACCCACACCUUUCGGUUCAGGCAACAGCUCACUCCCAACCUGGCCGGAAACUACUCCCUGCACCACGUGCACCCUGCACCCGUACAUCAUGUCCGGGGCAUUGUUGCUGCUCCUGCACGCGCCGCACGAUUUUGCAAAUAAAUACAAAUAACUUUGAUUUUGUGCCCCUUCGGAGGGGCGGGACAUGCCCCCCAGGCCACCAGUCCCCCGGCCCCCCAGACAGCCCAAUCGCAGUCGAAAUCCCUGUCCCAAUCCCCGAGCGUGUGACGUUCAACAGAAGCAUUCAAAUUAAACUUUAUUUGCCCUCCCCGUGCCUUUGGGCGUCUCUGGGCUUUCUGCUUAAAAUUGCAGAUUGCAGGCUUGAUCACAUUGCUUGCAAAUGAACGUUGGCACGGGAGGAGCAGGAGUAGCGAAAGGAGCAGGUCCUGGAACCAGGACCUCCAGCAGCAGUAGCAGUAGCAGCAGCAGGAGCAGUCAGACAAACACAUGAAACGUGCUGUGCAUGCAAUAAAGGAGAUUUUUUGUGGGAUUUCCUGCACUGAUACCAGCCAACGGCACAAUAUGCUCCAUAAAUUGCCUUUGGCCUCUGACUCAAUACUCGUUUAUAUGUAUACCUUCACAUGGAUAUUUCAGGAGCCACCCCAGACAAUAGUUUAUACUUGUCUAUGAUUUAGUUUUGGCGCUCUAAAGGGGAUGCAGCUGGAAAGGACACCCUUUCUUUCUAUACCCUAACCCAGCUGACCAAAAUAAUAAUAAGCAUGCGCAGAGCAAUUAUGCGAAACUACUUCUAAUUGCAUUUGGCGGCGCUGAAUUUAAGAACUUUUGCAGGAGUUACAAACUACAAGCCACUUGCGUUUUACAGCUUUUUCUAGGACUCACAUUAGAGAGACACAGAUUCGACCUGUUUAUACUUAAUAAAAAAAAGGAUUUCCUUGUCUGAUAUAUAGCUUGAAUUAAUUUACUUUAAACAAAAGUUAGUUGUGCAAACUCAUGAUGAAAGUUCAGCAAAAGUAUUUUUAUUUCAUACGAGCUUUUUCGGUUUUUGUACAAGCACCUAUGUAACAGUGUAAAUCCGUCAAGGAUACAAAUAAAUUUGUAUCAGAAAAUUCAAACGAAAUUUAAUUUAAGUAUUUUACAAUUAGGGAAAACACUCUUCCUCGAAAUACCGUAAGUAACCAACUCCAGAUGGAUCCUUUGUUUAGUUUUCCAGGGUAACGGAAGCAAUAAAGCGACUCCUCCGCUUGGUUAGGUUAUUAUUAUUGUUUGUUGUUUCGUUUUGGUGUUCCCUUUUGUUUGUAAUGUGAAAAUAAUCCUCGUGAAAGUUUUGUUGUGCGGGAAAAUCAAAGUAUUAGCAACUCGUUGCCUUGCUCCUUCUGGCUGAGACUCAGGAUUCAGACUCAGGCUUCGGCAACUUCCGUUGGGCGCCGUCAUGGCCACGUGAGCCCAGAAAUAGAAAACAUGGCCAACACGGCAGGAGCAGCAGGGCUCCACAGUGCAGCUAAAAAAGUUAAUAUUGUUUUUUAGUUAUUUUUUUAAGUGCUCAAUAACGUUCUACUUAGGUAUUGCAUUGAAAACAUGCUGUUUGAGUGCUUAGAUUGGGAUGUAAAUGUUGUGGUAGUUGUAAAAUUAAUUCCUUGAAGAUCCUAAUUAUUUUAACUAAUUUCGAGUGCUAUUUUUGUGGCCCAGCCUGUGAGCCGUGGGUGUCCUGAACGUGAACGUGAACUUUUCACGUGCGCAAUUUGUGUUCGUAUUUAGUUUUCCUCUUUCUGCGUUCGCCAGAAUGUGUGCUGUUUUAUUCAUAUAUAGUACAUUAUUCGCCCCGACCUUCUGCACUGGGCGCUGGGUGCUGGGUUCUGGGAAGGAACUACCCUUGUCCUAGCCGAACUCAACUCAAAUUAUAUUUUUAUGAGUGGGGCCAAGUUACGGCACUUAAUGAUGUUGCUUAGCAAAUUGAAGCAACUAAACACAAACAUAAUUGAAACAAUUUUCUCAUUAUAAUGACGAUGACGAUGAUGGUGAUGGCGAAGGCGAUGGCGAAUAGUGGGUAGAAACUCGGGCAGUUUUCCAGGUUCCUUUGAAGGAAAUGGAAAAAGGGAAAGGCGGCGAAGGCGGUGGAGCAGGUGCCGUUGACGCAAAUUGUUUGGCUGCGAUCCUGUCAAGGAGCUCCAGGUAAACAAAGAGCGCGCGCCCAAUGUCAACUAAAUAUGCGUCGUUCGGUGUGAGGAAGAUGAAGUGGGCGCCAGGAAGUCCUGGCAAAAGUUAAGCGCUCAAAUAAAAUAAAGGAAAAUGGCAAAAAGUUAGAUAGUGCGGGGCGGGCAGGCGGCUGCUAGGGUACAGGUACUCAGCCUAUCGCAGGAAGUGCAGCCAGCGCCGGAAGUUGUAACAAGUUAAUGGCAGUUUUUCAAGAAGCCAACGACUGUCAGGUGCACUGCGAUCCGAGGAUGCAGGGCCAACUGGGACAACUGGGCGCAGUGGGACAACUGAAGCAGCAGCAUUUAGCCGGAGGAACAGGAACUCCAGAUGCAGGACUAAGUGCAUUCAAGUUGGCACUCAAGUGCCGCCAAAGUGCCAGUCGACGUGGCCUAAUAAAGUUGUUUAGCCGGGUCUUGGCGGAAUUAAGUGGCUGCCUUCUGGCCUCCUGUCCUCCAGAUGCUGUCGCCCUGGGAACUCAAGCCCACUCGCGACUCCUUCAGCCCCUUCUGCUCCUUCCCGUUUACACACACACUUAUUUUAAUACUCUGCGCCUUUGUGCUCGUCAUUCCAUUGUAUUUGUUUGGCAUUGUGUGCCCGGGCCAUUAGCAGCUCAAUUUACAAAACGUCGACUCGACUCCUUUAAGCGCCGUCUAUCUGCCGCAAAGCUAUCGGCCCAAAACAAUAUUUGGCAUUGCGGGCGUUCCUUCCCGCAUUGUUUUUGCAGCCCCAUCCUCUCUUGGCUAAAAGCACUGGGCGACAAGUGGACGCCUAAUGGACCGGCGGCCAACUGCAAUUCGAUACGGAUGCCCCACUGCGGAUGCGAACUUUUCUUUCUGGGGAUGCGUGGAGUUGAUGGAGUGGGUGAAGGGUGCACGGAAAGAAACAAAUACAGCUGACUUACAGAAAACAAAUUCUUUGCACAGAAUGUAAUUAAUAAACACUUAAGCAAACUGUGUUAAGAUGUAGGUUUCAGUCACAGGAAAUUGAAGCCAAGCAAUUCAGUUAACACUACGCGCUUAACAGCCCGCUUUUACAGAGAACUGUAGGCCACACGAUCGGAGAUCUGGCCACGCCGGCCGCUGACAUCUGUCACAUUGCGUCCGGCAACGCUGUGUUAGUACUUCCUGUCGUUUUUUCACAAUCAGGCUGACAAAUUAAAAGGACGUGCGUGAAGAAUAGGUGAAUUCGACAAACAGCUUGCACAGAUCCUGAAGAAAUCCUACUUUCUCCUACAAAAAACAAUGGCCAAGACCAAUAGUUUAGCCAAGUUGCUUUUAUCCGGAAUCAAAGAACACGUGUGGAAAAGCUUUGCAGUGCAAAGGGCCCACGACUUUGAUACAUUGGCAAACAAGAUGGGCAUAAAAACAAAAUCAAAUUGCUUGCAAAUAGCUAAAUAAAAGGAUGGCCCAUCCCAGGACGAGGCUUCGGCUUAUUACUCCCCAAGUUGCCAGCCUGCUCGAAGCCAAACAUUUCAGCCAGGAUAUUGCCGACGAGCAAGGAACAAGUUUGCGCUUUGCAAAUUAAUAACAACAGCGAUGAGUUUUCUUGUGUGCCCCGUGAGUCCUUGUUGUUGUUUUUGUUGGUUUUCAUCCUUCAUCCAGAUAGGACAAUGUGAGUAUGUGUGUGUGAGCGGUAAGUAGGACUAAUGCCUGCAGGUUGACGUACGUGCUGUGGCAUUUUUAUUAGGCAUCUCCUUUUUUACGAGCCCCGCGCCGAAGCCCUUUUAAUGUCGAAGGCGGCGCCAGACUCCACUGGAUGUGAAAGCCAAGAGGGGGAACGUUUCAUGGCCCAUAAAAGCAACAGUCCCCCGAAAACCCCGUUCCCAGAAAUUUUGCACCCUUCCAACUCGAUACCAUACCAUCGCCAUCCUCCGGAAGAGUGAGUGUUACUUUUUGUUUAAUUUAAUUAGUCACGGCAAAGCCCACACCCCGAAUAUCAUUGUUAUUAGUACGGGCAUUUUAUUGGUCGCAUACCGUAGAGGAAUAAUAACAAUUACGCUUAAAUGAGGUCUGGCUCCGAUAAAUACCCCGUAUCCAGAUGGGUGCUCUUUAAAGUGAGCAAAAUAAAAUACAAUAAUAAAGUACUUCACUGUAAGUAGGAUAUAUUUUUGUGAUGCAUUAAGCUACUUUUAUUCGAAUACAAAUCAAUACGUUUUAUAUAAAAUUGUACCUCUUCUGAUCUUAAUUUAUUCUUGAGCUUGUAUUGUUUUUUAGAAAGUCCAGCAUACCCGAAGUGCUACCGCUUACAGCACGUGUUUGUGUGAGGGGAGAGUAUAAAAAUGUCGCUCAAUUAAAGUGUAGACACUUAAAAUUCAACACUUAAUUUCGUGCGUAACAUUAAUGCCGAGCACAUAAUUAAAUUAUGUUAAUUACGCCCAACAAAGUCUAUUAACAACACACUGCAGGAACGAGAUAGACAGUUGAGCUGCCUGAUGGAAGGAGACGGACGCAGAAGCUAAAUCCCUUUUGGGCCAAAAAGGCCAAACAUCAAAUAACUUUCAAUCAAUUCCAAUUAGGCCAGCUCCCUUUUGGCAUAAAAAUUGGAUCCAGAACGGAACGACAAUUUAAUUUCAAGUUUAAUGGCAAACAGCAAAAGAAAUAACCACAAAACGCGGGGUGAGCCGGUGGCUUUCGAACAGUUUGAUGUUGUUAUCUCGAAAGCAACCCGUUUCUGCCGUUCAGCCAUUCGGGCCACCGCAGGAAGGGAUAUUGUAAUAACAGCUGCCCGACACGAAGGACUAUCUGAUCCUUGGAAAUGCGCAAGGAGAAGCCGCAGGAGCUGGAGGAGACGAAGGAGACGCCCAGGAAAAUGGCAAGGAAAAGGCGAAGGAAACGGCCACGCAGCAAUGCAUUUUGCAGUUAGCAACAAUGGGCCAGCGGUCAAAGCCACAAUAAAAGCGUGGCGUGGCGUGGCGUGGCAUCGCUGGAUGGAACCGAAACUGAAAUGAAAACCACAAAACACGCCAAACCCGGGGUCCUGGAGUCCUGGAAGCCCAGAAAGGCACGGAUGGGAACUGAAAGGAAAGGAACGGAAGCGGGCGAAUGUCCCACGGACAUACAGCUGUCCGUCCGGACGAGUUUGAAGACGUGGCAGUAUGCUAGAGCAAACCAAGUUCAUUUUCAGUGCAAAAAUUUAAUCAAGAAGUGCAGUGCAGGGCGAGCCAAAGUGUCAGCGGUGGCAUUUCCCACUUUCCACCGCCGCAUCCUUCCCCCUGCAAUCUAUUGUCCCCCCUUGGCCGUCCGCCCCUUCAAAUGUCCUGGCGUCCAGCCCCUUGCGUGUAAUACGAGAUUCGUUCAACAUUUACAAUGAUUUUGUGAUUCUUCCGACACUUUAUGGCCCAAGCCACGCUGACAGGCUCCCCACUAAACUUGAACACCCGCACUCUAUAUCCUUUUCUAUCCUUUUAUGCUAUAUACAUACACAAGUAUAUGCAUUUGUAUGUGUAUGUGUAUGUAUACACAUCGCAUUGCUGGGUGUGUUUGACUAUAAUAGAGUGAAAGACUUUAAGCAAGCAUCGCUAUCGUCAUCGCCAUCUCCAUCGCCAUCACAUCGCCAUCUCGGUAUUAAGUUGCAAGCGAAAAAGUUCACUUGUAAUGCAGACGAGCAACGAAAAUGGAAAAUUGGAGCGCAGCUGACAAUGCUCCCAUUUACCCCCUUUCCCGAUUUCCCCAUUUCCGUCCCCACUAUUUUUCAGCAGAGUGUCAGUCGAUAUCCUGCGAUAUCCUGCGAGCAGCUUGGUCAGGUUCCCACAGGCGGGCCAGGAUGAAAAAGCUUGCGCCGCGAAGCGAAGCGAAAAUAAAUAAAUAUUUGGUUAAUUCGAUUUUUAGCUAUGAUUGUCCAAACGCAAUUCUUGUUGAUAUUCAAUAUUCAAGGGUUGCGACUGGGCAUCGCGGCUCGAAAUAAGAAUACAACUCGGCAACCAAAUCACCACUAAAGUGAACUUUUUAUCGAAACGAAAUUGGUUCAUGCGAUACUGGGCAGCAAGAACCAAAGUGAGCAUUGAAAGUUAAACGUUUUAUUAAAAUUUGCAAUUCUUGUUUAUUGUGCAAGAAUGUGACGAAUAAAUUGAAGAGGAAAUUCA
Drosophila yakuba is the source of this 23623-nucleotide long non-coding RNA. RefSeq lists it as uncharacterized. Lineage: Eukaryota; Metazoa; Arthropoda; Insecta; Diptera; Drosophilidae. The transcript has 3 exons. The record is from RefSeq and is a predicted model, not a curated record.